ACUCCUACGGGAGGCAGCAGUGGGGAAUAUUGGACAAUGGGGGCAACCCUGAUCCAGCAAUGCCGCGUGGGUGAAGAAGGCCUUCGGGUUGUAAAGCCCUUUCGGCUGGGAAGAAAAGCUUACGGUUAAUAACUGUGAGUCUUGACGUUACCAGAAGAAGAAGCACCGGCUAACUCUGUGCCAGCAGCCGCGGUAAU
Molecule: ribosomal RNA, 197 nt
Filed under: uncultured bacterium
Lineage: Bacteria
Description: partial 16S ribosomal RNA
Rfam family: Bacterial small subunit ribosomal RNA
Source: RNAcentral